Molecule: long non-coding RNA, 1017 nt
Filed under: Numida meleagris (helmeted guineafowl)
Lineage: Eukaryota; Metazoa; Chordata; Aves; Galliformes; Numididae
Description: lncRNA (ENSNMEG00000010514.1)
Source: RNAcentral
AGAAGAAGCAAAUGGAGGGAAGAAAGAUAUGCAGAAGCCCAUUGGCUUUUCAAGCUUGACAGCACAUGCUGAAGAAUAGAGGUGGGGAAGUGUGGAGACAUAAAGGUUAUGGCCUAGGAACUGGAGCGCAUUGGCAGUUUUCAGAAUUGCACAUGAUAUGGCCAAAACCACUUUUUUUGUAUACACCCAGUGCAGGACGAUGCAGGUAGAAUAACAAGGGAAGGCAUCAUCACAGUCAGGGAGCUGGAUGCAUCCCUCUUCUGACUGGGAUUCUUUGUCUUUCUGGAUGCCAGCUGGCAGUUAGGAAUGGGUGACAUCUGUUAGUAAAACAGGUGGAGGACAACUUUCUUAAUAACUGUAUCUACAAAGUUAGGGGCCUACAAUGUGCUUCAGUCCCCUGGCUUUUGAGGAAGAAUUUGGCCCUGGUUUGGGAUGCAGAGCUACAGCUGCCUCUACAUGCAUCCUGUCCCCAGCAGGUGAAGGAAUGGGUGUUUCCACUUCGUGCUCUGUACCUGUUGUGUUUGGAAAAAAAUACCUCAGUUUUACAGUAGAAGUCAGCACGUUUUGAAGAUAUCCAAGCAAAUCUGCAAGAAGUACUUAUAGCAAUCCAUAUAGCAGCAAAUGCUUGACUCUGUGUUAGGCUGUUGUGCUGAAGCUGUUCCACCAAAGCCCCAGAUGACGUGAACCCUACCGUGUCUAAUGAUUAAAAAGUACACAGAAAAAUCCCUCUUCAGGAGACCUAGUGCCAGAGCUGCUCUCCAGCUUUCUCCUCACCUUGAGAAGUUACUGGGAAAGAAAGCUGUGAGAGACAAAGUCUACAGAUCACAGAAGAACUGUCCAUCUUUAAAUACACUAUUCUGUUAAACAUUUCUUAGUCUGUUUAUUCCUACGUACAGGGAAUGCAUUGCAGUGCUGCUUGUUCAAAAAUAGUGCAUUUGGACAGAGUGGUUUCUGCUGAUUAGUGGGAAAGGAAAAGGAGAGUAAAGAAGCAAUGCACAAUAUCUACCUGAGGGGAAA